Molecule: non-coding RNA, 239 nt
Organism: Pelobates cultripes (western spadefoot toad)
Lineage: Eukaryota; Metazoa; Chordata; Amphibia; Anura; Pelobatidae
Source: the annotation of a GenBank genome assembly
GGGGAUUCAUGUGAAUUUCCUAAAAAUGGAAGCAAAAAGUAAAACUAAAAUUAUUAAGAGAGCAUAUACUCACAUACAGUGUGGCGAAAGCCACUUUGACACUGAGGUUUGGAGGGGACUACUUGCCAGACUUUUACCCUGUGACUAUGGCCCCUUUAAUUUAUUGUGGUUGAGAGACCCUAUUUGUGCCUAUUGGGACUUUGAACAAUGGUUCUUCGAACUUUCGAAGUAGUUCGAAG